AUGAAGAUUUUUUUUGCUACAACCAUGUACCACAGAAGCUUCAACCAUGUGUGCCAGAGCUGCAAGCCAUGUACACCAGAGCUACAACCGGAGACGCUCGUCGCCAGUGAGGCUGCAAAUGGCACGGGCAAUGCCACAACCGAUGUCCAGCGAGCUGUAAGCGACACAACGGCAAGCUUCAAACCUGGUGGAUCACCAUGCCGGCGAGGGGAGCUGCAACCAUGGUGGCGAGUUGCUGGAACCGCCUUUCACUUUUGCUACGACCGACCAAAUUUUUUGCUACGCUGCGGCGACGAAGAUCUUUUUUUGCUGGAACAUAGUGCUGCAAAAUAG
Molecule: ribosomal RNA, 333 nt
Filed under: Triticum aestivum (bread wheat)
Lineage: Eukaryota; Viridiplantae; Streptophyta; Magnoliopsida; Poales; Poaceae
Description: partial small subunit ribosomal RNA
Source: RNAcentral